GUGAUAAUAUAUUAAUAUUUUAUUGGCUGUUUUCAUGCUCUUUGUAUUAAUAUAAAGUACUUCAUUAAACUAAUGAAGCCACUACAAAAGUGGGACCUUUAAUAAAAAUCAGUACAUACUAAAGUCCCGACUAGACUGACAAUUUUAAUUUAACACAAAAAUGUACUCAGUACUUAUGAAACAUUAGAGUUGUAGCAAAUCGAUUGAUCUCGGUUGUAGAUAGAAUGAUUGCGCAACGGCCCAUGUUUACCGUGUACCACAAUGUAGAGAAGAUCUCUAGUUCUAUACAUCGUGCAGUAUAAAAAUCACAUCCAAAAAGGUUCAUCAUAUUAUCAUUUUCUCGCGUCCAACUAACGCUCUCGUGGCGGUGACAAACAACUACUAACUUGUAGAAAUAAUUUUUAGUAUUUAUAACUUAUAGGCUGUACCUCUGAACUCCAUACAUAGAGUGGGAUGUACUGCUGUAGUUCAGUUGACUGUUAUCUGUUAUAAAUACUUAUCACGUGUUUGGGUUUUGAGUGCAGUUUGUAGUUUUUGAAAUCUCAAAAAAAUGAAUGUGUUCUUAUAAAUAAUUAAGUCAUCAAAUUGGUGAAAGUCAAUUGGGUGUACCAAAAUCUGAUUUAUUGAAAAAAAAACAGUGGGAACAGGCACUAGGUAUCUCAUUGAAAAAAAUGUAUCUCGUUUGUUCAUCACAUUUUAAAGCUUGUGAUAUUUUAUGUAGUUGGAGGAGGAUCAACUAUAUAUACGGUUGGUACCUGUACUUAUCCAAUAGUUAAAUGUUUUAAAUUUUCAUUAAACAUACAUAUCUAUUAUAUACCAACAAUUUAAGUACUUGUAUUACAUAUAAUAUUUAUUUAUUUUAUUUACUUAUCUAUUUAUUAAUAUAACUACUAAUAUAAUAGUUCAGAAGUUUAUUUUAUCAUCAAAAUGUAUUAUUAUUUAUAGAUACGUUUAAAAAAAGUAAUCCUCGAAAAAAAAGGGACUGUUUCAGAAAAUAUAAAUGAAGUAAUUGAAACUGCUAACAUAAGUACAAAUAACAUUCAGGUUUGUUUUGUUAUAAGGCUUUACAAUUUAAAAUGGGUUUAUAACAUUUGUUUUUAAAAAUAAUAAUUUUAUUAGGUGUGUGAAAUGUAUAAUACUGGCAUAAUAAAAGAUCAUGACAUUGUAUAAUUCAUUACCCAAUGCAAGUAAUAUUGAUGAUAUUUCAAUUAAACACAUUUCUGAAUCAACUUGUAAACAAAGAAAGAUUUAUAUUGAUAAUUGAUAAUUUUUCAAAGAAUUUGCUUUUAUAAUUUGUUUGUGAACGGAUUGAAAUAGUG
Molecule: non-coding RNA, 1319 nt
Organism: Cinara cedri
Lineage: Eukaryota; Metazoa; Arthropoda; Insecta; Hemiptera; Aphididae
Source: the annotation of a GenBank genome assembly